CGUCAGGGGCCAUGGAUCGUAGACGUGCGAACCCCGCCAGGGCAGGAAUGCAGCAACGGUAGUAUGCUUUACGUUGCCGUGGUGCUCUGACGGCU
Molecule: signal recognition particle RNA, 95 nt
Filed under: Verrucomicrobiota bacterium
Lineage: Bacteria; Pseudomonadati; Verrucomicrobiota
Description: Verrucomicrobia bacterium (rhizosphere metagenome) signal recognition particle sRNA small type
Rfam family: Bacterial small signal recognition particle RNA
About the family: The signal recognition particle (SRP) is a universally conserved ribonucleoprotein involved in the co-translational targeting of proteins to membranes.
Source: RNAcentral